Molecule: ribosomal RNA, 482 nt
Filed under: eukaryotic picoplankton environmental sample
Lineage: Eukaryota
Description: SSU rRNA
Rfam family: Eukaryotic small subunit ribosomal RNA
Source: RNAcentral
UUAAGUUGUUGCAGUUAAAAGCUCGUAGUUGAAUUUCUGGACUCGCCGAGAGGCGGCCUUUGGCCGACCACUCCGCAAGUUCAUCCUCGCCCUUCGGGGCGUCAUUUACUGUGAAAAAAUUAGAGUGUUUAAAGCAGGCUUUAGGCUUGAAUACAUUAGCAUGGAAUAAUGAGAUAGGACCAGGUCGUAUUUUGUUGGUUGCGCGAUUCGGUAAUGAUUAAUAGGGACAGUUGGGGGUAUUCAUAUUUAAUUGUCAGAGGUGAAAUUCUUAGAUUUAUUAAAGAUGAACUACUGCGAAAGCAUUUACCAAGGAUGUUUUCAUUAAUCAAGAACGAAAGUCAGGGGAUCGAAGAGGAUUAGAUACCCUCGUAGUCUUGACCAUAAACUAUGCCGACUCAGGAUUGGCACCCUUUUUUAACAGGGUGUCAGCACUGUAUGAAAAAUCAAAGUCUUUGGGUUCCGGGGGGAGUAUGGUCGCAAGG